CUCAGAGGGGACAAUUGGAAACUGCUCAACUUCGCAAACAUUGUUUUGUUGCCAAAGAUUGAUUCGUCCAGAAGUGCUUCUCACUUUUGGCCAGUGAGCUUAAUUCACAGUUUUGCAAAAAAUUUAUGCAAGUUGCUGGCAAAUCGGCCGGGACCGGAGCUUGAAAAGCUGAUAUCCUGCUCUCAGAGUGCUUUCAUUCGUGGGAGAUCCAUCCAAGACAAUUUCCUCUAUGUCCAGAACACUAUCAAACUUGCACACAAAAAGAAUAUCCCCCUCGUCUUCCAGAAGCUUGAUUUCGCAAAGGCGUUUGACUCAGUCCUUUGGCCAUACUUGAUUUAUGUCAUGAAGGCUUAUAGGUUUGGACAAGAGACAUUUUACGGUGCAUCAUACUCCUGUAAAUAG
RNAcentral lists this ribosomal RNA (402 nucleotides) under Triticum aestivum (bread wheat). RNAcentral's name for it is "partial small subunit ribosomal RNA". Lineage: Eukaryota; Viridiplantae; Streptophyta; Magnoliopsida; Poales; Poaceae. The record is from RNAcentral.